Molecule: ribosomal RNA, 374 nt
Filed under: uncultured eukaryote
Lineage: Eukaryota
Description: partial 18S ribosomal RNA
Rfam family: Eukaryotic small subunit ribosomal RNA
Source: RNAcentral
CAAUAGCGUAUAUUUAAGUUGCUGCAGUUAAAAAGCUCGUAGUUGGAUUUCGGUUAAGAGCGACCGGUCCGCCGUUUGGUGUGCACUGGUUGGUUUUAACUUCCUGUAGAGGACGUGCUCUGGGUUUAACGACCUGGACUCGGAGUCUACGUGGUUACUUUGAAAAAAUUAGAGUGUUCAAAGCGGGCUUACGCUUGAAUAUUUCAGCAUGGAAUAACACUAUAGGACUCCUGUCCUAUUUCGUUGGUCUCGGGACGGGAGUAAUGAUUAAGAGGAACAGUUGGGGGCAUUCGUAUUUCAUUGUCAGAGGUGAAAUUCUUGGAUUUAUGAAAGACGAACUUCUGCGAAAGCAUUUGCCAAGGAUGUUUUCAUUA